AUUGAACGCUGGCGGCAUGCUCUACACAUGCAAGUCGAACGGUAACAGGCCGCGAGGUGCUGCCGAGUGGCGGACGGGGGCGUAAUGCAUCGGAACGUGCCCAGUCCUGGGGGAUAACUACUCGUAAGAGUAGCUAAUACCGCAUACGAUCUAUGGCGGACAGCGGGGGAACGUAAGGCCUCGCGCGAUUGGAGCGGCCGAUGUCAGAUUAGGUAGUUGGUGGGGUAAAGGCCCACCAAGCCAACGAUCUGUAGCUGGUCUGAGAGGACGACCAGCCACACUGGGACUGAGACACGGCCCAGACUCCUACGGGAGGCAGCAGUGGGGAAUUUUGGACAAUGGGCGCAAGCCUGAUCCAGCAAUGCCGCGUGCAGGAAGAAGGCCUUCGGGUUGUAAAGUGCUUUUGUACGGAACGAAACGGCUCUGGUUAAUACCCGGGGCUAAUGACGGUACCGUAAGAAUAAGCACCGGCUAACUACGUG
Molecule: ribosomal RNA, 482 nt
Filed under: uncultured bacterium
Lineage: Bacteria
Description: partial 16S ribosomal RNA
Rfam family: Bacterial small subunit ribosomal RNA
Source: RNAcentral